This 85-nucleotide transfer RNA is filed under the name Erysipelotrichaceae bacterium. Its description in RNAcentral is "tRNA-Leu". It matches the Rfam family "tRNA". From Rfam's summary of the family: Transfer RNA (tRNA) molecules are approximately 80 nucleotides in length. Their secondary structure includes four short double-helical elements and three loops (D, anti-codon, and T loops). Lineage: Bacteria; Bacillati; Bacillota; Erysipelotrichia; Erysipelotrichales; Erysipelotrichaceae. RNAcentral also lists the same sequence under 1 other name. The record is from RNAcentral.
CCCUGAAUGGCGGAAUUGGCAGACGCGCACGACUCAAAAUCGUGAGGAGAAAUCCGUGUCGGUUCGACCCCGACUUCGGGGACCA